CAAUAACGUAUAUUAAAGUUGUUGCGGUUAAAAGCUCGUAGUUGGAUUUCUGUUGAAAGCGAUCGGUCCCCUCUCUGAGGCGUAUCGUGACUCGCUUUGGCUAGUCCUCCUGUAGCACGUUUCUGUCCUUCACUGGAUGGAGCGGGAUGCAGGACUUUUACUUUGAGGAAAUUCGAGUGUUCACAGCAGGCAAUCGCCCUGAAGAUAUUAGCAUGGAAUAAUAAUAUAGGACCUUGGUUCUAUUUUGUUGGUUUCUAGAGCUGAGGUAAUGAUUAAUAGGGAUAUUUGGGGGCAUUCGUACUAACCGGUCAGAGGUGGAAUUCUUGGAUUCGGUUAUGACGAACGACUGCGAAAGCAUUUGUCAAGAAUGUUUUCAUUGAUCAAGAACGAAAGUGUGGGGAUCGAAGACGAUUAGAU
RNAcentral lists this ribosomal RNA (417 nucleotides) under uncultured eukaryote. RNAcentral describes it as "SSU rRNA". It matches the Rfam family "Eukaryotic small subunit ribosomal RNA", at positions 592 to 1013 of the family's 1831-position model. The record is from RNAcentral.